GGCUACCUGGCGCAAUGGUAGCGCGUUUGGCUUCGAUCGCCUCACGUGAUAGAUUCCAACCAAAAGGUUGCAGGUUCGAGUCCUGCGGUGGUCA
Non-coding RNA from Cytidiella melzeri, 94 nucleotides. Lineage: Eukaryota; Fungi; Basidiomycota; Agaricomycetes; Polyporales; Irpicaceae. The record is from the annotation of a GenBank genome assembly.